GUGAAUCAUCGAAUUUUUGAACGCAAAUUGCACUCUCUGGUAUUCCGGGGAGUAUGCUUGCUUGAGGGUUAGUUUGUUACAAUCGUAAAAAGAAAUUUUUACGGAUCUGGAUUUUCCAAAAGUUAUAUUUUUGGUAAUCUAAAAUUAAUAUUAAAAUAAGGUGUAAUUGGAAUGGUUUUUUUUUAUUUAUUAAA
This 194-nucleotide unclassified non-coding RNA is filed under the name Acaulospora lacunosa. Its description in RNAcentral is "partial contains 5.8S ribosomal RNA and internal transcribed spacer 2". The stretch from base 1 to 71 matches the Rfam family "5.8S ribosomal RNA", at positions 84 to 154 of the family's 154-position model. Lineage: Eukaryota; Fungi; Glomeromycota; Glomeromycetes; Diversisporales; Acaulosporaceae. The record is from RNAcentral.